AAUCAACGCUGGCGGCGUGCCUCAGACAUGCAAGUCGAACGCGAAAGCCCCCUUCGGGGGGCAAGUAGAGUGGCGCACGGGUGAGUAACACGUAGGUAAUCUACCUUUGGAUGGGGGAAUAACCACCGGAAACGGUGGCUAAUACCGCAUAAUGCAGCGGCACCUAAUGGUGACAGUUGUUAAAGCGGGGGAUCGCAAGACCUCGCGUCUAAAGAGGAGCCUGCGGCGGAUUAGCUAGUUGGUAAGGUAACGGCUUACCAAGGCGAUGAUCCGUAGCCGGCCUGAGAGGGCGGUCGGCCACACUGACACUGACAUACGGGUCAGACUCCUACGGGAGGCAGCAGUCGGGAAUUUUGGGCAAUGGGCGAAAGCCUGACCCAGCAACGCCGCGUGAAGGAUGAAAUCCUUCGGGAUGUAAACUUCGCAAGAACGGGAAGAAUAAGCCGGUGUCAACACCACCGGCGAUGACGGUACUGUUUGUAAGCUCCGGCUAACUCCGUGCCAGCAGCCGCGGUAAUAC
Molecule: ribosomal RNA, 520 nt
Filed under: uncultured bacterium
Lineage: Bacteria
Description: bacterial SSU rRNA
Rfam family: Bacterial small subunit ribosomal RNA
Source: RNAcentral